AAUCUAAGAACUUACCAACAAU
This 22-nucleotide small nuclear RNA is filed under the name Arabidopsis thaliana (thale cress). RNAcentral's name for it is "snRNA_17548". Lineage: Eukaryota; Viridiplantae; Streptophyta; Magnoliopsida; Brassicales; Brassicaceae. The record is from RNAcentral.